Molecule: ribosomal RNA, 21 nt
Filed under: Musa ornata
Lineage: Eukaryota; Viridiplantae; Streptophyta; Magnoliopsida; Zingiberales; Musaceae
Description: partial 26S ribosomal RNA
Source: RNAcentral
CCACGGAUCGGCGACCCCCCA